Molecule: ribosomal RNA, 488 nt
Filed under: marine sediment bacterium ISA-6353
Lineage: Bacteria
Description: bacterial SSU rRNA
Rfam family: Bacterial small subunit ribosomal RNA
Source: RNAcentral
UGGCGGCAGGCCUAACACAUGCAAGUCGAGCGGAAACGAGUUAUCUGAACCUUCGGGGAACGAUAACGGCGUCGAGCGGCGGACGGGUGAGUAAUGCCUAGGAAAUUGCCCUGAUGUGGGGGAUAACCAUUGGAAACGAUGGCUAAUACCGCAUGAUGCCUACGGGCCAAAGAGGGGGACCUUCGGGCCUCUCGCGUCAGGAUAUGCCUAGGUGGGAUUAGCUAGUUGGUGAGGUAAGGGCUCACCAAGGCGACGAUCCCUAGCUGGUCUGAGAGGAUGAUCAGCCACACUGGAACUGAGACACGGUCCAGACUCCUACGGGAGGCAGCAGUGGGGAAUAUUGCACAAUGGGCGCAAGCCUGAUGCAGCCAUGCCGCGUGUGUGAAGAAGGCCUUCGGGUUGUAAAGCACUUUCAGUCGUGAGGAAGGCGGUGUCGUUAAUAGCGGCAUCAUUUGACGUUAGCGACAGAAGAAGCACCGGCUAACUCC